CGACGCCUACGGGGGGCAGCAGUAGGGAAUCUUCCACAAUGGACGAAAGUCUGAUGGAGCAACGCCGCGUGAGUGAAGAAGGGUUUCGGCUCGUAAAGCUCUGUUGGUAGUGAAGAAAGAUAGAGGUAGUAACUGGCCUUUAUUUGACGGUAAUUAAUUAGAAAGUCACGGCUAACUACGUGCCAGCAGCCGCGGUAAUACGUAGGUGGCAAGCGUUGUCCGGGUUUAUUGGGCGUAAAGCG
Molecule: ribosomal RNA, 242 nt
Filed under: uncultured bacterium
Lineage: Bacteria
Description: partial 16S ribosomal RNA
Rfam family: Bacterial small subunit ribosomal RNA
Source: RNAcentral